This 3774-nucleotide long non-coding RNA is filed under the name Phaseolus vulgaris (common bean). RNAcentral describes it as "long non-coding RNA (PVUL_LNC004808)". The record is from RNAcentral. Lineage: Eukaryota; Viridiplantae; Streptophyta; Magnoliopsida; Fabales; Fabaceae.
GCCCCCACCGCCAGCGGCGCGAAGCCGUUCACCCACGCCUCGUAGUUGGCCUCCAUUGCCGAGAACACCUGCUCGAUCUCUCCCUGCUCGAAUCCCCCGUGGUAGUCCUUGUCGUUCAGAAAUCUGACAAAAUUCAACCAUCGGUAAGACUUCUAAUCACUCUUCUUCAAUCAAUUACUCACUCACACACAUUACUUUCCCCUUUCAAAUCAACACUCUGCAUCAUCAUCUGCAUGCUCCUAACCCCAUUCAAACUACAGGUAUCACUGCUUGGUUGAAUGGGUUGGAGAAAGGUGUUUGAGAUGAAAAGAAAACAAGAUUUUGUGGAAGUGUUGAAAUGGAAAAAAAAGCUGGGUUGAAGUUUGAUGUAGGAAAAGAAGUGGAAUUGAAAGAGGUGGGUUCAUGAUUAGCCCCUCCAUUAUGUAGUUUGAAUCCAAACAUACACCAAUUACACUGAGACCACAGUUUUUUUUUACCUCAAACAACAUAAAUCAGUAUGAAAUUGUCAAGUUCCAUGGAUCAAAGAAGGUUGAGAAAAUAAAAUUUAAUCCAAACAUGAAUACAUACAUACAAGUGGUAACAGAAAUUUGAAGCAGAGAGGAAGCAAAAAUGAAGUAACGGAAGAGGAGAGGGUUUGGUUGGGGUACCUGGGGGAGGCGCCGAUGAGGAUGAGUUUGGAGAAGAGUUCGGGGCGGCGGAUGGAGGCGAGCAUGCCGAUCAUGGCGGAGAUGGAGUGGCCGACGUAGGCGCAGCGGGGGACGCGGAGGGCCUCGAGGAUGUUGAGGAGGUCGUCGACGUAGGCGUCAAGGGUGGUGUAGCGGCGGUAGUCGAAGUGGUCGGGGUUGACGCUGCCGGCGCACACCAGGUCGUAGAGAAUGACGCUGUAGUGGCGCGUGAAGUAGGGGAGCACGCGCUGCCACGCCGACUGGUCCGUGCCGAAACCGUGUGCCAGGACGAGGUACUUGUCGCCGGUGCCCUCCACGCGCACGUUGAGGGCGUCCAGAAUGGAACUCCCCAUACCGAAUUUGUUCUGAUUAAAACGAUCAGAGAGAGGAACACUCUCACACACACACACAACAGUAGAGUGAUUGGUUUGGUGUGUGUGCAAGAGAGCGCGUGGCUUCUGUUGUUAACAACAGUCGAAGGUGGUUCUCUUGAUUUUAUAUUUUGUUUCCUUUGUCUCUUUGGCUGCUAUUUAUAACUGCCAUCACUCAAUCCCAACACACUAUUUUCUUUUGCCUUUUUUUUAAUUGUUUUUGUUUAAAUCCUUUAUUUUAUUUUAAUUAAUUAUACUACUUUUCAAUAUUACCUGAAUUAGACAGGUUAGGUUUUAAUUUUAAUUAGAUAAUAUCAAAUUAAUUGUAAUAAAAAUGAUUAAAUUAGGAAAAUUGUACAUCUUAAUUAAAACUGUUCUCACAAUAUAUGAUGAACUUUAAUUAAUACUAAAAAUAAAUUAAAAAAAAGUGUUGUUUGCAUUAUCUAAAGUAAACCAAAUGGUACACCCAGUGACGUACUUAUUAAUUAUUGCAAAUGCAGAUGCCGUAUGGAAGCAACUAGAAAACGAAAUAAAUUCUUUUAUUUAUUUAUUUAUUUAUUUAUUUAUUUAUUUUAUUUCCUUCUACUUUGGAAGUUCUUCAGUUUUGACGUACAGUGGGGUAUUUAAUAAAAGAGAGAGAGAGAGAAAUGUUUCAAACAUUUUAUCAUCAUCUUGCAUAAUAAAAUCAUUAAUUAAAAUGAAAUGUUAAAUAUGGUUAAUUAGUUAAUGAAUAAUGUAAAAAGUGUUAACAGUAGAUGAAAGCAAAGGUGGAAACGUUUUUUACCUUUAUUAUGCAGAAUCAAAAGUUAAUCUUUAAUUAGUAAAACUAAGAAUAGAAGUGUAUGGUAGUUAUGUGAGUGAUAUUAGUGAAGCUAUGAUUUUGAUUAAAGAUUUGUGAUUGAAGAAACUGGUGGCAGUUAUUAGUCCAUAAACAGUGUGAUUUGGUGUGAUUUUACUUUCUGGAAAACGAAUUUGGUAUGAUUAGUUGAAAGCUUCAACUAAUCAGUAAUCAGCAAAACAAAGCAAAUGGUAGAUUUUUGAAGAAGAUGAGAUGAAGAUGCGACAUCACAAUCAUCAUCACUUUUUGUCCUGCCCAAUUAUCCCAUUGUACGGACCAAGAAAAAUUUCACACUCCACUUUUUUUUCCUUUCAUCUUUUUACUUUUCACCUAUUCACAAUUCGGAUGAGGAGGAAUGUUAAAACAAUGUGUUUUUUAAUUCUAAAUUAGGAUUAUAUAUAAGGAAUAAAUAUAUAUUUUGUUGUUUUUUUUUGUUUUUUUUUUAACUUUAAAUAUCAUAAUUAUUGAAAUUCAUCUUUAAAAACAAAUUUUAUAUAACAUUCACAUCAAUGAUAUAUAAAAUAUUCUAAUAUACUAGAUUAUACUGAAAAUUUCUUUGUCACAGACAAGGAUUUUUUUCAAUAACUUUUUUACUACAUUAAAAAAUCUAAAGUUUAUAAUAAUAACAGAAAUUAAUUUCGCAUGGAGAUAUAGAUAGGAAUAUACAUAUUUAAUUGUUUAUUUUAAAAUUCAAAGUUUCAUUACAAUCAUAUCUAAAAAAAUAUCUUAAUAGAUUAAAAAACAUCUUAAUAGAUUGAAUAAGAAGGUUAUAUUUAGAAUAUUUUUAACCAUGAUCUUGACUCUUUAACUUAACUGUGUGAAAUUAUUAGAUUAAUUAUAGAAGUAAAAUAAAGAUUAUUGUUUUAAACAAAGAACAUAGUAGAUAAUUAAUUGCUUUCCUAUUGUUAUUAUUACAAUUAUCAAGGAAAUAAAAGAAUUUAAUUUUUCAGUGUUAUGAAUUCGAAAGAAAAACACUAUGAGUUGGUGCAUCCAUAAUGGUCAAUUGUUGUAAAUGAAUAAUCCAAAAAAUUUAUGUCCUAACAUCUAUUUUUGUCAGUUGGUUCAGCUGCUGUCUCCUACCCAUUUCAAUCAUAUUAUUAAAACAAUUUGUCUUUUUCUCUUACAAAGUAUUAGUCAGUCUCAUAUAAUAAAGAAUUUAGUCUCCAUAAUAGUCAUACAAAAACCCAUGAAGAAAAUAUCAGUCACAAAUAAAUAUAUUUCUCACCAAUCAUAUUUCUUAUAAAUAUACUAUACCUUUUAUAUAUAUAUAUAUAUAUAUGAAAUUUCUCGAAACAAGUUCAAGUUUGUUGAAAUAUAUAAUUAUAUAAAUGAAAAAUUAUUUUACCAAUUCGAUUAAUGUUAUGUACGACCUUUUUAUUGGUACUUAAUUAUUUAUAUUUUUUAUGUAACAAUUUAAGAUCUUAAUUUUAUGCUUUAUUUGAUGUUUAAGUUAGAUAGAUGCACUUUUCCUCUCGAUUUCACAAUUGAUUAAUAUUUGCCUUUUUUUAUCAUCAAACAGAAUAAAAUAAAUAGCUUUCUUUUUUAACUUUAUUUGUCUUAUGUUAGAUAUAAUUUAGUUUUUGUAACUUUUUAUUUUAUAUAUUUUUAAGAACUGUACAGUUUUAUUUAUGAGUGAUUUAGUGAUUCUUAUAGUUAUAUUAACUUGAUAUUUUAGCCCUUACGUUUAAAGAAUAGUAAUUUUGAAUAUAUAAUUUGAUUAGUGUAUAUAUUUUAAUCGUAUUGAAUCCUUGUCAUUUAAAUUCAUAGAGGAUAAAAAAUAGAAAAUAAUAUGUAUUAAAGCUAAAAACUAAAAUUUGUCCAAUUGUAUAAAUUAAAUAAGUAAUUUAACAUUAUUUAUUUUUUAUCCUCAAGUACAACUAUUCAUUAGUCACCACUACAG